RNAcentral lists this ribosomal RNA (419 nucleotides) under uncultured microorganism. RNAcentral describes it as "bacterial SSU rRNA". It matches the Rfam family "Archaeal small subunit ribosomal RNA", at positions 330 to 745 of the family's 1478-position model. The record is from RNAcentral.
GCGCAGCAGGCGCAAAACCUUCGCAAUGCGGGAAACCGCGACGAGGGGACUCCCAGUGCCUACGCUCAGCGUAGGCUGUUCCCGAGCCUAGAAAGCUCGGGGAGUAAGGGCUGGGUAAGACGGGUGCCAGCCGCCGCGGUAAUACCCGCAGCCCGAGUGGUGGCCACUAUUAUUGGGCCUAAAAGCGUCCGUAGCCGGCCCGGUAAAAUGCCUGGGUAAAAUCGUGAGGCCUAAACCUCACGAAUUCCGGGUAGACUGCCGGGCUAGGGACCGGAGGAGGGAGAGGGUACUCCAGGGGUAGGGGUGAAAAUCCUGUAAAUCCCUGGAGGACCACCGGUGGCGAAGGCGCUCUCCUAGGACGGGUCCGACGGUGAGGGACGAAAGCCAGGGGAGCGAACCGGAUUAGAUACCCGCGUAGU